CAAAGAAAUGACAUCCCAGAAACGCCAUCUUGAAACAGUGACUUGUAUUCACGCCGUAAAGGGACACGAAUUGUUGCAAACACAUAUCUAACCUCGCAAACAGUCGCUAAAAUCAUAUUCAUAUUAAAAUGAAAUAAAAAAGACAGUAUUCGAUUUGAUACUUAAUCACUGCAGUAAAUUAUAUUCGAAUACGAGCAUUAUUAUGGUACCAACAAGACUCAUCGAAACCUCUUGUCACAUUAAUGAGAAUUUAUCAUCUCCGUCAGAAGAUACAAAGUCAACAACUUGUUUGUUACGAAUGACUAUCGAAGAGCCCGCCUUGGUGGAAGGUAAAGAGCCCACACGCAAAACCAUCGCUAUGGAUCUUCCACAGGCAACUUUGAACACAUUGGUGAAUGAUUUUACAAAAAUACGUGAACAAUUAGCCAACGUGGCGAGAAAUAAAUGAUGAAAACGAAAAAAUGUUGAAGCUUGUGUAUCAAAUACUGUUAUGAUGUUAGGUGAAAAAAAUAAAAAUAAUAAACAAAUGAAAACUUUA
This is a long non-coding RNA of Venturia canescens, 538 nucleotides long. RefSeq lists it as uncharacterized. Lineage: Eukaryota; Metazoa; Arthropoda; Insecta; Hymenoptera; Ichneumonidae. The record is from RefSeq and is a predicted model, not a curated record. The transcript has 2 exons.